Molecule: long non-coding RNA, 1219 nt
Filed under: Coturnix japonica (Japanese quail)
Lineage: Eukaryota; Metazoa; Chordata; Aves; Galliformes; Phasianidae
Description: lncRNA (ENSCJPG00005000061.1)
Source: RNAcentral
GGAAGGAUGGGGGGGGUCUCCACCACCCAACAGACCCCAAAGACCCCCCAGUGUAGCCCAACUUGGGGGUCUCAACUCAAUGAGCCCCAACUUGGGGGUCUCCAGCCCCAACUGUGGGGUCUCCAACCCCAACUUUGGGGUCUCCAUCACCUAAAGACCCCCAUCUAUGGGGUUAAUCACCCAAUGAAGCCCAACUUUGGGGUCUCUAUCACCCAAUGACCCCCAUCUAUGGGGUCAAUCAGCCAAUGGAGCCCAACUUGGGGGUCUCCAUCACCCAAUGACCCCCCAUCUAUGGGGUUAAUCAGCCAAUGGAGCCCAACUUGGGGGUCUCCAACCCCAACUUUGGGGUCUUCAACCUUGAGAUUCCAACCCCAAUGUUGGGGUCCAUGACCCAUUGAUCCCAUUGUUGGGGUCUUCACCCCCCACCACCCCCAUCCCUGGGGUCUCCACCCCCAACUACCUCUAACUUUGGGGUCUUCACCCCCCACCACCCUCAUCCUUAGGGUCUCCACCCCCACCUUGGGGUCUUCAUCCCCCACUGACCCCAAUGUUGGGGUCCAUGACCUAAUUAACCCAACUUUGGGGUCCCCACCACCCAACGACCCCAAUGUUGGGGUCUAUGACCCAAUGAACCCAACCUUGGGGUCUCCACCCCCCAUUGACCCCAAUGUUGGGGUCCAUGACCCACCACCCCCAUCCUUGGGGUCUCUACCCCCCAAUGACCCCAACAUUGGAGUCUACCACCCAAUGACCCCAACAUUGGGGUCCAUGACCCAAUGACCCCAACUUUGGGUCCCCACCACCCCCAUCCUUGGGGUCUCCACCCCCCAACUACCCCAAUGUUGGGGUCCAUGACCCACCACCCCCAACCUUGGGGUCUUCAUCCCCCAUUGACCCCAAUGUUGGGGUCCAUGACUCACCACCCCCAACUUUGGGGUCUCCACCCCCCAACGACCCCAACAUUGGAGUCUACCACCCACUGACCCCAACAUUGGGGUCCACGACCCACCACCCCCAUCCUUGGGGUCUCCACCCCCCAACUACCCCAACAUUGGGGUCCCCCCCCUCGGGGUCUCCACCCCCCAAUGACUCCAACAUUGGGGUCCAUGACCCACCACCCUCAUCCUUGGGGUCUCCACCCCCCAUUGACCCCAACAUCGGGGUCUCCACCCCCCAUUGACCCCAACAUUGGGGUCUCCACCCCCAACCUCGGGGUCUC